RNAcentral lists this transfer RNA (72 nucleotides) under Camelus bactrianus (Bactrian camel). It matches the Rfam family "tRNA". Rfam says of the family: Transfer RNA (tRNA) molecules are approximately 80 nucleotides in length. Their secondary structure includes four short double-helical elements and three loops (D, anti-codon, and T loops). RNAcentral also lists the same sequence under 2 other names. Lineage: Eukaryota; Metazoa; Chordata; Mammalia; Artiodactyla; Camelidae. The record is from Rfam by way of RNAcentral.
GGAGGUAUAGCUCAGUGACAGAGUGCAUGCCCAGCAUGCACAAGGUCCUGAGUUCAAUCCCCAGUACCUCUG